AUUUCCAGUUGUAGGGGGUGGGAAUCCGAAAGGGGUAGUGAAGAGGGCAAUCUUGGGCCCUUAGGCCUAAGCUGAACGCUGCGAACUCUACUGAACUCAGGAUGAAGCUCCAUACGCGAAUACGCUUCAACUUUGCCGCUUCUUCCACCUGUAUCGUCUUCCCCGAUCUUGUGGACUAAAACGUACGCAGCUAUGAACCAUUUCGUAUUCGGAAUAAGCGUGCGUCCAAGAAAUCUUCUGAAGGAAGAAACUGACAUGAAACCGAUGCGAACGAAACGAAUAAUCGUGGAUUUUAAGACACCUCCAACAAUCGUGUUAGAUGUUCAAACUCCGAAUUUGAACCAACUUCAAAUGCGCAGCAGCGAAAUUAAGAAAAUGACAUAAGAAGAUGGUGAGGAACUUACCAGAUUCAGAUCACGACGUAGUGGCGAAACAGAGUUCUAUGAACCUGAUGCAGAGGAUGGAGUUUGGUGGAGGAGGCUGAGAAGUUAUGCAGAACUUGAGCUAGAUGAGCUUAGUGAAGAGAGAGCUUGCAGAGAACUUGAGAUUUGUGCAGAGCUAUGAACUGGAUGUCGAGAAUGGGGCAGAAAAUGAGAUUCCGAACUUGGUGAAGAAUGAGCUAGCCCCCAAGAUUGAUCUUGGUAAGUGCUUUUAUAAACUUCUGACCCUGAUGAUUCUCUCUCUCUCACUAUCAUUAUCUUCAAAUAUGACAAACAACACAUCAAGCAACAAUAAUCACAUACAACAACUUACCAUCAUUCCAACAACUUAAUAUAACAAAAAACCGCAAAGUAAGAUGAAUAAGAAUAAUAAUAAGAAGAAGAAUAAGAGAGAGGAGGAAUCAGGUCGUUGGAAAAAAAAACUCCUGCCAUAAACGCGAAAUCGCCACCCACUGCACUUGUCUCCGGUUGCCAUCACACCCCAUUUGCUAAUCAGAUCCAAGUUGCAAGGAUGGGUCUUGACGAACACCAUAACAUGCCGCAAUGACAUGGAAACAAGGCAUACGGAAGGUUUGAAACUCUCCGCAAUCGCACCAAUAUUUAUGAAUUUCCACCAGGUAUUAUCUCAUUAGUCAGUCCUCAUUGUGAUCCUCUGCAUCAUCAACAAGGAAGUUAUAAUCAUGACAAUUAAAUCCUGUGACGUGAUGUGAGAUCGCUUUAAUAGUUUCCUCCUUAAAAAAUUUCAUCCAGUUUUCACUGAAUAAUUUUCCUAAUUCUAACACCGCACUCCAUUUUUUACCUCUGGUAGCGAAUAUUGAUCCCAACCUAUAAUAGGUUUCUCUCACUAACACAUUAAUGAGUAGGUUUCUAGUUCCCUUAAAGACGUCAUUCAUGGAUUCCAUAACUUGUGGUAGUACAUUAAUGAUGGUUCGUUUGAACCAUAACUUGCAUUCGCAACUUUUUUCGAAGAUUUAUGCAUUUGAUUUCCCUCAUGAAAUGUUGUGCAAUGUGUCUUAUGAAGUAUACAUCCACAUAAGAAGGAUUUUGCCAACCAUUAGCAGGAUUAUUAUAAGAGCUCUCAAUAGAUGCAUGUCUAUCUAAAAUCAAGCAUAUAUUGGGUUAUAGAUCGACGUGUGUUCUGAGAUUUUUUAGAAAGAAACUUCAAUCGCCACCAGUCUCACCUUCAACUAAAGCAAAGGUAAUUGGGAAGAUAUUAUUUUUGUCUUGUGCAAUUUCCAUUAGUUUGCUCAUUAUAAUUUACCAUAAAUACUUAUUUGUAUCUUAAUACUUAUUUUUGUUAGAAUCCUCGCAGUUUUUGCACUCAUGUCCAUGGUUAUGUUGCACAUGACGAAUUAAUUGAACCAUAUUUGGAGCGUGCUGAAUUUGGCCAUCUCAUCAAAUUUAAGACAUAUGUCGUUGAUACAAAGUUUAUUCUUACUCUUUAAUAAAAGUGGAGACUUAAGACACACACACAAUCCAUCUUCUGACUGUUGAAUGUACUGUCACACUAGAGAACGUAUAAAAGUUGUUGGGUUUACCAAUUAACGGUAAGGUGAUAAAAUGGUCCCACAGAUAUUGAUGAAAAUAUAUCAUAGCAAAUUUUGGGUAAAGGCUUAACAUUAACCGAUAUGA
This is a long non-coding RNA of Lathyrus oleraceus (garden pea), 2072 nucleotides long. RefSeq lists it as uncharacterized. The transcript is spliced from 3 exons. The record is from RefSeq and is a predicted model, not a curated record. Lineage: Eukaryota; Viridiplantae; Streptophyta; Magnoliopsida; Fabales; Fabaceae.